This 650-nucleotide ribosomal RNA is filed under the name uncultured bacterium. RNAcentral's name for it is "bacterial SSU rRNA". It matches the Rfam family "Bacterial small subunit ribosomal RNA", at positions 8 to 655 of the family's 1533-position model. The record is from RNAcentral.
AGAGUUUGAUCAUGGCUCAGAUUGAACGCUGGCGGCAGGCCUAACACAUGCAAGUCGAACGGUAGCAGGAUGUGCUUGCACAUCGCUGACGAGUGGCGGACGGGUGAGUAAUGCUUGGGAACUUGCCUUUGCGAGGGGGAUAACAGUUGGAAACGACUGCUAAUACCGCAUAACGUCUUCGGACCAAACGGGGCUUAGGCUCCGGCGCAGAGAGAGGCCCAAGUGAGAUUAGCUAGUUGGUGGGGUAAAGGCUCACCAAGGCAACGAUCUCUAGCUGUUCUGAGAGGAAGAUCAGCCACACUGGGACUGAGACACGGCCCAGACUCCUACGGGAGGCAGCAGUGGGGAAUAUUGCACAAUGGGGGAAACCCUGAUGCAGCCAUGCCGCGUGUGUGAAGAAGGCCUUCGGGUUGUAAAGCACUUUCAGUUGUGAGGAAAAGUUAGUAGUUAAUACCUGCUAGCCGUGACGUUAACAACAGAAGAAGCACCGGCUAACUCCGUGCCAGCAGCCGCGGUAAUACGGAGGGUGCGAGCGUUAAUCGGAAUUACUGGGCGUAAAGCGCACGCAGGCGGUUUGUUAAGCUAGAUGUGAAAGCCCCGGGCUCAACCUGGGAUGGUCAUUUAGAACUGGCAGACUAGAGUCUUGGAGA